CAGAUAGAAAAAUGGGUAUGACUGGAGAAGGAAUCCCCGCGGAAUUUCGGCACCCCUUUUGUCUUAUAACCCUGGUUGAGGGCUUCUGCGUUCGGUGGUGGGGGUCCCAUGCGUGGGAGGGGCCGCGUUUUCAUGUUGUGGGGCCCCGGAGUUGGGGCUCGGAGUCGCGUUUUUUGCGAUUUUCUGCGGGACUUUUAGAGAUGAUAGGAUGCUUUAAACGAUUAUGGACUUGUGUUAUCAUUCCGAAUCGAAUGCGGUCAAUUUGAGUAGGCUGCGGCUUGCCUUUACGAUGUAACGUGGUUUUUUCCACAUACGGCGGUUUGUCUGUUCCGA
This 333-nucleotide long non-coding RNA is filed under the name Androctonus crassicauda. The record is from RNAcentral. Lineage: Eukaryota; Metazoa; Arthropoda; Arachnida; Scorpiones; Buthidae.